RNAcentral lists this long non-coding RNA (295 nucleotides) under Malus domestica (apple). RNAcentral describes it as "long non-coding RNA (MDOM_LNC020292)". The record is from RNAcentral. Lineage: Eukaryota; Viridiplantae; Streptophyta; Magnoliopsida; Rosales; Rosaceae.
UAAGCAAAUUAAAUCACAACUCAGAAAUCACAACUGAAAGUAAUCAAUUCAUAUUACAAAUAUAUUCAUGGCUUUGAAUUAACCUCUAGCUAAAAUAAAAUUAGUUACACAUUAUUCUCAAAUUAAACCAAAAGUUAAACAUGAGUUUAGGAAAAUAGAACCGAAAUAAGAGAGUGCAGAGGUUUCCUCUUUCCCUUGCCAAGCAGUGGCGUGAGCUCUCUAUUUUUCUUCUUCUUGUUUUUCUGCUCUCCGUUUGCUCUCUGCCCAGCUGCAAAGGCAGCUUUGCUUCUCUCCC